RNAcentral lists this ribosomal RNA (507 nucleotides) under Escherichia coli. Its description in RNAcentral is "partial 23S ribosomal RNA". It matches the Rfam family "Bacterial large subunit ribosomal RNA", at positions 1 to 538 of the family's 2925-position model. The record is from RNAcentral. Lineage: Bacteria; Pseudomonadati; Pseudomonadota; Gammaproteobacteria; Enterobacterales; Enterobacteriaceae.
GGGUUGUGAGGUUAAGCGACUAAGCGUACACGGUGGAUGCCCUGGCAGUCAGAGGCGAUGAAGGACGUGCUAAUCUGCGAUAAGCGUCGGUAAGGUGAUAUGAACCGUUAUAACCGGCGAUUUCCGAAUGGGGAAACCCAGUGUGUUUCGACACACUAUCAUUAACUGAAUCCAUAGGUUAAUGAGGCGAACCGGGGGAACUGAAACAUCUAAGUACCCCGAGGAAAAGAAAUCAACCGAGAUUCCCCCAGUAGCGGCGAGCGAACGGGGAGCAGCCCAGAGCCUGAAUCAGUGUGUGUGUUAGUGGAAGCGUCUGGAAAGGCGCGCGAUACAGGGUGACAGCCCCGUACACAAAAAUGCACAUGCUGUGAGCUCGAUGAGUAGGGCGGGACACGUGGUAUCCUGUCUGAAUAUGGGGGGACCAUCCUCCAAGGCUAAAUACUCCUGACUGACCGAUAGUGAACCAGUACCGUGAGGGAAAGGCGAAAAGAACCCCGGCGAGGGGAG